UAGAAAUUAACUUAAUGGUAAAGUAGUCGUUUUACACACGAUAGUUAGGAGUUCAAAUCUCUUAUUUCUAA
This 71-nucleotide transfer RNA is filed under the name Eremothecium sinecaudum. RNAcentral describes it as "tRNA-Val". It matches the Rfam family "tRNA". From Rfam's summary of the family: Transfer RNA (tRNA) molecules are approximately 80 nucleotides in length. Their secondary structure includes four short double-helical elements and three loops (D, anti-codon, and T loops). The record is from RNAcentral. Lineage: Eukaryota; Fungi; Ascomycota; Saccharomycetes; Saccharomycetales; Saccharomycetaceae.